ACUCGAGUGGCGAACGGGUGAGUAACACGUGGGUGAUCUGCCUUGCACUCUGGGAUAAGCUUGGGAAACUGAGUCUAAUACCGGAUAGGAACCGUCUUUAGUGUGGUGGUUGGAAAGUUUUUUCGGUGCAAGAUGAGCUCGCGGCCUAUCAGCUUGUUGGUGGGGUAAUGGCCUACCAAGGCGUCGACGGGUAGCCGGCCUGAGAGGGUGUACGGCCACAUUGGGACUGAGAUACGGCCCAG
Molecule: ribosomal RNA, 242 nt
Filed under: uncultured Actinomycetales bacterium
Lineage: Bacteria; Bacillati; Actinomycetota; Actinomycetes; Actinomycetales
Description: partial 16S ribosomal RNA
Rfam family: Bacterial small subunit ribosomal RNA
Source: RNAcentral